This 500-nucleotide ribosomal RNA is filed under the name Salmonella enterica subsp. enterica serovar Typhimurium. RNAcentral describes it as "bacterial SSU rRNA". It matches the Rfam family "Bacterial small subunit ribosomal RNA", at positions 1 to 490 of the family's 1533-position model. RNAcentral also lists the same sequence under 1 other name. Lineage: Bacteria; Pseudomonadati; Pseudomonadota; Gammaproteobacteria; Enterobacterales; Enterobacteriaceae. The record is from RNAcentral.
AAAUUGAAGAGUUUGAUCAUGGCUCAGAUUGAACGCUGGCGGCAGGCCUAACACAUGCAAGUCGAACGGUAACAGGAAGCAGCUUGCUGCUUUGCUGACGAGUGGCGGACGGGUGAGUAAUGUCUGGGAAACUGCCUGAUGGAGGGGGAUAACUACUGGAAACGGUGGCUAAUACCGCAUAACGUCGCAAGACCAAAGAGGGGGACCUUCGGGCCUCUUGCCAUCAGAUGUGCCCAGAUGGGAUUAGCUAGUUGGUGAGGUAACGGCUCACCAAGGCGACGAUCCCUAGCUGGUCUGAGAGGAUGACCAGCCACACUGGAACUGAGACACGGUCCAGACUCCUACGGGAGGCAGCAGUGGGGAAUAUUGCACAAUGGGCGCAAGCCUGAUGCAGCCAUGCCGCGUGUAUGAAGAAGGCCUUCGGGUUGUAAAGUACUUUCAGCGGGGAGGAAGGUGUUGUGGUUAAUAACCGCAGCAAUUGACGUUACCCGCAGAAGAAG